RNAcentral lists this small RNA (95 nucleotides) under Sinorhizobium meliloti 2011. RNAcentral describes it as "putative ncRNA". Lineage: Bacteria; Pseudomonadati; Pseudomonadota; Alphaproteobacteria; Hyphomicrobiales; Rhizobiaceae. The record is from RNAcentral.
ACUGAACGCGCAGAUCGAUUGAAAGCUCGACCGGCUGGAGAUCACGCCCUUUAAGGGCAAGGCCGGCGCCGCGUAGGUCGGCAAGCCAGUUUGCA